This is a long non-coding RNA of Xiphophorus couchianus (Monterrey platyfish), 450 nucleotides long. RefSeq lists it as uncharacterized. The record is from RefSeq and is a predicted model, not a curated record. The transcript has 4 exons. NCBI's taxonomy places the organism in Eukaryota, Metazoa, Chordata, Actinopteri, Cyprinodontiformes, Poeciliidae.
CUGCAGAAGAGGUCACUACACAGAUUCUUAAAUUUGUUUUUCAAUUUGAAGCCCCUAAAAGAAUUCUGACAGACCAAGGCACAGAGUUUGUCAAUUCGAUAAAUAAGAAUGUCUGUGAAAAACUGGGCAUUAAAAGGAGUCUCUGUGCACCCUACCAUCCACAAACAAAUGGUUUGGUGGAAAGAAUGAAUGCCACUAUCCAAAGGUCUCUGUGCAAACUUGUGGGGUCGAAACCAGAAACCUGGGAUGAGUAUCUCGAUGCGGUCAUGUUUGGACUUAGGACCAAAAAACAGAUGACUACAAAGUUUUCCCCUUUUUUUCUUAUGUUUGGACGUGAAGCUCGAUAUCCGUUUGAGAUCCCAGAGAAAUAUGAGAUCAACAACACUGUUGAGCAGGUUAUGGAGGAAGAGACUGUGACAGAAUGCAUAAAGCAUUUGGAUGCCAUUAAAG